Molecule: transfer RNA, 71 nt
Filed under: Loxodonta africana (African savanna elephant)
Lineage: Eukaryota; Metazoa; Chordata; Mammalia; Proboscidea; Elephantidae
Rfam family: tRNA
About the family: Transfer RNA (tRNA) molecules are approximately 80 nucleotides in length. Their secondary structure includes four short double-helical elements and three loops (D, anti-codon, and T loops).
Source: Rfam by way of RNAcentral
ACAUUGGUGGUUCAGUAGUAAAAUUCUUGCCUUCCAUGUGGAAGACCUGGGUUCAAUUCCCAGUCAAUCCA